RNAcentral lists this ribosomal RNA (1429 nucleotides) under uncultured organism. RNAcentral describes it as "16S ribosomal RNA". It matches the Rfam family "Bacterial small subunit ribosomal RNA". The record is from RNAcentral.
CAUGCAAGUCGAGGGGCAGCAUGGCCUUAAGUUGCUAAGGCCGAUGGCGACCGGCGCACGGGUGAGUAACACGUAUCCAACCUACCGUCUACUCUUGGACAGCCUUCUGAAAGGAAGAUUAAUACAAGAUGGCAUCAUGAGUCCGCAUGUUCACAUGAUUAAAGGUAUUCCGGUAGACGAUGGGGAUGCGUUCCAUUAGAUAGUAGGCGGGGUAACGGCCCACCUAGUCUUCGAUGGAUAGGGGUUCUGAGAGGAAGGUCCCCCACAUUGGAACUGAGACACGGUCCAAACUCCUACGGGAGGCAGCAGUGAGGAAUAUUGGUCAAUGGGCGAGAGCCUGAACCAGCCAAGUAGCGUGAAGGAUGACUGCCCUAUGGGUUGUAAACUUCUUUUAUAAAGGAAUAAAGUCGGGUAUGGAUACCCGUUUGCAUGUACUUUAUGAAUAAGGAUCGGCUAACUCCGUGCCAGCAGCCGCGGUAAUACGGAGGAUCCGAGCGUUAUCCGGAUUUAUUGGGUUUAAAGGGAGCGUAGAUGGAUGUUUAAGUCAGUUGUGAAAGUUUGCGGCUCAACCGUAAAAUUGCAGUUGAUACUGGAUAUCUUGAGUGCAGUUGAGGCCGGCGGAAUUCGUGGUGUAGCGGUGAAAUGCUUAGAUAUCACGAAGAACUCCGAUUGCGAAGGCAGCCUGUUAAGCUGCAACUGACAUUGAGGCUCGAAAGUGUGGGUAUCAAACAGGAUUAGAUACCCUGGUAGUCCACACGGUAAACGAUGAAUACUCGCUGUUUGCGAUAUACAGCAAGCGGCCAAGCGAAAGCGUUAAGUAUUCCACCUGGGGAGUACGCCGGCAACGGUGAAACUCAAAGGAAUUGACGGGGGCCCGCACAAGCGGAGGAACAUGUGGUUUAAUUCGAUGAUACGCGAGGAACCUUACCCGGGCUUAAAUUGCAGAUGAAUUACGGUGAAAGCCGUAAGCCGCAAGGCAUCUGUGAAGGUGCUGCAUGGUUGUCGUCAGCUCGUGCCGUGAGGUGUCGGCUUAAGUGCCAUAACGAGCGCAACCCUUGUUGUCAGUUACUAACAGGUUCUGCUGAGGACUCUGACAAGACUGCCAUCGUAAGAUGUGAGGAAGGUGGGGAUGACGUCAAAUCAGCACGGCCCUUACGUCCGGGGCUACACACGUGUUACAAUGGGGGGUACAGAGGGCCGCUACCACGCGAGUGGAUGCCAAUCCCCAAAACCUCUCUCAGUUCGGACUGGAGUCUGCAACCCGACUCCACGAAGCUGGAUUCGCUAGUAAUCGCGCAUCAGCCACGGCGCGGUGAAUACGUUCCCGGGCCUUGUACACACCGCCCGUCAAGCCAUGGGAGCCGGGGGUACCUGAAGUGCGUAACCGCGAGGAGCGCCCUAGGGUAAAACUGGUGACUGGGGCUAAGUC